Molecule: long non-coding RNA, 7016 nt
Organism: Caretta caretta (loggerhead turtle)
Lineage: Eukaryota; Metazoa; Chordata; Testudines; Cheloniidae
Source: RefSeq, a predicted model, not a curated record
UAGCAUAUAAAGGAAUAUUCCUUGCUGCUGAGCAUAAGAGAGACAUCUUCUAGGUGUUACCAUACUUGGCAGAGAUUUUCUAUUCUUAGAUUACUUUUUAUUUGAAAGAGCUUCAUUACUUUCUUAAGUAUAAGACUCCCUCUGCAGUUAGUGCUCGCAGCAGCUGCUUGGUUUACUAGUGCAAUGUAAUAGAUGCUAAAUUUACCAUGAGCAAGAUAUUUCCAGUUUGAACCACCUUUGAUUAACUGGCACAACAGUAAUUUAAAAUGUUCAUGGCUGCCUUCCCUCUCAGUGUUUCACCAGCAUUCGUGGGCAUGGAAUUUUAUGUUCUGCAAAGCCCUUGGCGAUGAAAAGAGAAAAUACAGUGCAAUCAAAUACACCCCUGAAAGGACAAGAGACCUCACGAUUCACAGACUGCUCGGAAAUUGGGUGAAUUCAGGUGCUCAUCAGUUUGGAGCCAAUUGGAAGCUGACAAUGCCCUUGUCAAUCAAGCCCCCAAGAGACAUGGAUUGGAUAUAUCUUUUGGUACUUAAGAGGCAGCAUCUUUCAAUCAUAGUGCCAUGGCAUAAGAAGCCAUUAGAAGCCUUUUAUUUUAAGAUGACAUUUAAAGUCUAAAAUGGAACGUUAAUCUCCAGACUGACCAUUCUGAAUCUGACUCCACACUGGAACUGACGAGAGGUGCUGUUUAUUCAAGACUCUUUUAUGAUCCCCAUCAUUACCACGUAUGUCUGGGAAACAUGCUCCUUCUUAGUGUACUGUCAUUCUCACAACACAAGGCACACAGUCACUUCAAGAGGAGCAUUACCUUGUGGUUCAAAUCAGAUACUGAACUUUUCUUGGCGGCAAAUGCAAAUUGUCAUAGCUCCGUUAGCGAAGACUAUUUAUAGCAGAUGUCCCUUGGGCUGUAUUCUGGGCUGCUCCACUGACAUGCAAUGGAACUCAAAAGGAGUCACCCAGUGUCUCUCUGCCUCAGUUUCCCCCAAUCUGAAAAACAGAUUGCCUGGGUUACAAGGUUGCUGUGGGGCUUUAAAAUUAAUGUUUGUAAAGCACUUUGAGAUCACUCAUUUAUAUAUAUAUGUGUGUGUGUGUGUGUGUAAAGGACUAUUUAAAAUAUAAAUCAAAGUAUUAUUAUAAGAAGUCUGUUCCAGAGACCCAUGCAUGGCUUGGAUUCAGUAAAGUAUUUGCUGUUAGAAUCCUUUCUAGUGAAAAAAUGUUUCAACAGCAGCUAGUUAAAUAUUGUGAUUUCAUAUGGCGCCUUUAUUUACAGUGUGUCGUUAUCUUUAACAACAUCUAUUUAUAAUGAUCUUUAUGAGAUAAUAAACAGUGCUAUCCUAUUAACAGUGACCUCAAAGUUCAGCCAAGAGCAUGAGGAAGUCUGCCAAAAUAGCUAGGUGGCCUUUCUUGCAGUCUUGCGAAACACAGCUGACUUUUAUUUUUAUUUUCAGAUCUAGCAAGAGGAAUACCCAAAUAAAUAUAAAUUAGAGGUGUUAAGUGAAAUUUAUGGAUCGUGAAGGUGUGAAUCAGCUGGCACCAGCGAAGUGUGGAUUCAGGUAUAGGCUAGGCAUGCAAACUGCUCUCGGGUGGCUUUGCCAAUACUCUAAUCUUAUCUGUAGCAUCGCAGGCAUUUUAUACCUUUGACGUUGGAAGGAAAAUCUGUUGGCUUCUCUUCUGGAAAGCCUGGUCGAGGGGCAAAGACAGUUCCUGGUGUAGAGGGAGAUGUUUGUAUAGGUGGUUUGGUGGCAGGAUGUAGGUUGAGGAAAUUACUGGUGAUGUAAUUAAUGCCAAGUUUAACGGACUCCUUGCAGAAGAGGAAAGUCAUCGUUCCACUAAUAAUAAUAUGACUACUAGGACAACCACAUGCUGGGGUUCAGAGGACAGAUACAGGCAUUGCCAAAAGGAGAGAUGGACAUCUAUGAUUCCAAAAUGACAUGUGAGUAACAUGUUCUGUGUUGAGCUCUGUUCACUCCUUUGGUUCUUUAACUGUGUCCUCUGGAGCCCUGCAGUCCUCAGCACUCUUCCUAGCAGUCCACAAAAUGAAAGAAUUUUGCACACCAAACGCUAUGGGAGUCUGGAAAGAAAAAAGGAUGCUACAGAGGUUCUUUCAGUGACAAAGUAGACUGCGGAGUGAAAAGCUGGAGAAUGGCUGAUCCAGACAACAGUUCCUGUGUGAAGCGCUGAAAUACGAGCUGACCUUGCUGUGCUCCUGACCACCAUGUAUCAUUCCCACAGCCGCUUUUUUAUGCCAUGGGCAAUAAACAGUCACUUUUAUACUAACAUCUGUAUGAAAAGCUUGCUGCCCUCGUUGACCAAGAAAACACCCAUCCUACUCCACCAGUGCUGUACAGCAGAGAACUGACUGGAUUGUACACCCUGCUCUGAAGCUUUCUUCUGCCUUCACCAGAUUAUUUAUUGCUAUGUUCCACACUGGGAGGAAGAGAAGGUUUUAUGCAAUGUCUUCAUAUUUAAAAACUAAACAGCUUCUAUAAAGGCCUCCUGUCACAUUCUGGGUAUUAAUGUGUUAUGCUUUAAAUGGUAACCCACAGCUAAAUGCAUUCUAUGCUAUGGAUCUGGCUAGCGUAUGUGCUAUGUUGACACAAAUUAUGGCAUUAUAUUGUAUAUGAUACCUGAUAUUAUUUUUAUUAUAAUACCAAGAUCAAGGCCCUAGAAUGACCCAUUCCUGAAGCACUUACAUUUAGAGAUGUGCGAAUAACAGAUUUUUCAGGUCACUGGCAAUUCUGGAAAAAACACGUUUUGGGGUGACCCGAAAAUUAACUUUUUUGGCUAAUCAAAAAUACUAAAUAGUCAUUUGGGGUUGAACGAACCAUUUAAGUUUGACCAAAAAUUAAAUGUUUUGUUUAGAUUUCCAGAAGUUUUUUUUAAAGUUAAAAAAAUAAAUAAAAUUUGAAGAACAUUUCAAAAACAGAGUUGUUUUGAAUCAAAAAGGAUUGACAUAAAACAUUAUUUUUUUUCUUUUAACAUCAACAAUUUGGCAAAACCAACAUGAAUUCACAAAAUUUUCAGUGUUGCUGAAUAUUCAUUUUUCGUUGGACAAAAGUUUCACCUCAAAAAUUUCACUUAGAUUUAGGUUCAAAGGAAAAUCAUUUAUCAUUUUAUUGUAACUAAAUAAGACAAGAUGGUGUUGUUAUCCUAAUUUUACAGAUGAAGAACUGAAUCAAAGAGACAUUAAAUGACUUACCCAUGGUCACACAGGAAGUCCACUGCAGGAGCAGGAAGUGAACCCAGUUAUACCUUUUGCUCUAUUUAGAUUAGCUAAACCUUCACAUCUCCAUCUCCCUCCAGUACUGGGCCCGAAGAGAGCCUUAAAUCCUACAUACCCUGUGUAGCCCACGCUUACUGAAUGUGGAUGUCUACACCACACAUGGAAGUUAGUGAACAGCAAACUUGGCUUUUUAGGUGUACCUGGCAUACCAGCUUACCCAACAGCCUAUUGUAGGAGAGAGAGAGAGCCUGGAACACUGGGCCUGGUGCAAGACCUGAGGCCUGAACCAGAGUUAGGCCCAGGGCCGGAUUUCCAAUUAGGCACAGUAGGCACGUGCCUAGGGGCGCCUGCGUUCUAGGCGUGCCGUACCUCUCUAAAACUGUGCAACAGAAAGAUCAGCUGUAGGCAGGGAGGGGCACUGAAGAUGCUAUGCCUAGCAGCGCAUUAGGUGUAAAUCCGGCCCUGGUUCGGCCAUGUAUUAAAGCCGAUGUUUACAAAUUCACUGUCCAAUAUCUGACCUUGGAAAAAGUAUUGCUAGUGUUGCUAAAACACUGGCACUUCCAAGAAGCAACAGCUUCUGGAUACGUGUGAGAACACACUUUAAAAGAUGAGCUCAGAGACACCAGGUAAGAGGGUGUUUUGCCCAAGACACCCUGAACAUGAUACAAGGGGAGGUCAUGAAACGCAUAAGGUGGUACGUAAGUUGCUUGUCUCAGUCUAUAAGUGCCGGGGUACCUCGCCUUAACCCUUUGUGUGUGGGGGGGACAGCAAAAAUUCCCACAAAAAUUCCCAUUCUUUGCCACAGGGCACUUAUGUGUUAGCGUUCCUGUAUCCAUGGAACCAGGGUGCUAGGACUUCGUGUUGAGGGCAAUAAACCUGGCUGAGUGCUUUUGUCACUGAACCGAGUCUGUGGUCUUUCUGGGUAGUAACCAUCAAGGUCUGCUGAACCAGCUAUCUGCACAGGGCUGGGACAGUAUACAAAGAGAGCACACACACACCUAACUGACAACACAACACCUGUAUGCUCCAGUAUCAACUUGCUCUAACCAGUUUUUGACAGCUAGGAAAGUUUUUAACGUGACUGAGCCAAGCACAUCAUCUCUCUCCUCGCAGUAGACUCAGACUCUGUCAGAGCUGUGUGAAUGAAACAGCUCUGCACAGCCAUUCGGCGGAAAAGCUCCAAACAUCCCAGAGGAAAUGGCAACAUUCAAACACAGGCGAGCCCACAAGUGAAUCACACACACUUGUCCAUCGCUCAUUCUGGUGAAUCAGAAGGAGAUGCUCUGUCGGCUGCCACCCCGCUGAAGCAAAGCCUCUGUGAAGCCCUAACAAUCACUGUGUUGCUAGCAGGGCUGUCUUUCAGGUUAAACAUAAAACUGAAAUUCUGGAUACUUGUAGUUCUUAAAAAUACCUUGGCAGGGUUGUUGUUUUUUUCUACACUUAAGGGGAUUGACCCUGCCUUAGGCCACAGAGCUACUUUUAAACAGGUACAUGGAAAAUAGCAUUGCCAUCUGGCCAUUUUUUGACCAGCCUGGCCACUUUUUCUACUCUCUUGCUGGUUGCUGGACAUGAGAUGUAAUUUGCUGGGGUUUUUCUGUUGCACGCUCCUAGGGGAUUUCCCUUGACAGCUGAGCCUUCUGCGUGGGGGUGGAUGUAGGGGCUCAAAGGCCAGGGGCAUCAUGCUACAGGCUACUGCUGGGGGAGGGCACCCAAGAGAGGAAGAGAAGGGUGUGGCAGAGGAGACAAAUCUAUGCCCUCCCACUCUUAAAAAGGCACUCCUACAGUUCCUGAAUCACACUGACCUGGCCCAUUUUCAGUUUGAGUGCAAUCUCCCUACCUACAAUUCCAACCACAGCAUUCACUAGAUAAGGGCUCUGUCUUCGUUUUUAAUUCCAAACUAUUUGUGGAAUAAUGCGGUUAGCUCUGAACACCUGGUUCAUUUCACCCCAGAAAUGGCUGAAUUUUGGUAGCUGGUGAAAUAAGACCUGCAUAUGUAGAUAGCUAGAUAGCAAGGUUUGUACAGUGCUUUGGCAUCCUUUGGAAUAGAAGUUGCUAAGUUAUUUGAUAUUUUUUAUCAUGCAGCUUUGAGGUGUAUUUUUGAUUCUGGCCAAUCACUUGGCCCUUCUAUAUGUUUCCCUGGUCCGAAUUCAUAUCGCAGCAUAACAACUUGGACUUCGCUCAAGGAAAGUGAAGGAGGGAAAAAAAUCACACCCAAGUUUUUUCUGUAGAGAAAGCAAAAUUAUGUUUGCUGUAACAUCAGAAAUCCAAUGGUGGCAGGGUCAGUAGCUCAAUCCAUUCCUGCUAUGAAUAACAAUCUGAAAAAAUGAAUGCGUCAACCUCUUCAGGCCUGAGCUAUCUCAAAGCCCUUUGAUCCCUCAGUUCAUGACUGCUGGCCAUCAAAAGUAUUUUCUCUCCAUAUUUUCCCCCAACAGGUUCAAAGGAAAAUCAAUUAAAUUAUUAAAACUUGAAUUGCUUUCCUGUAUGAAAUUAUCACCUAUAAAAAGAUACCUUUAAUUGGGGACUGUAAAGAUCUAAAUGACCUCCCCUCACAAAUCUCUGAAAUGCCCUUGCUAAAUCUGACCUGAAGCAUGAAUCCAUUUGGGGGUGAGGGUAAUUUUAAUGUGACUGAAAUUAUAGUUUCAUUUUCUUCCCAGUGGUAUCUAUUUAUUUAUUUUAUUUUUUACAACAGUCCAGCUGAAGGCUAACACUUGACUUUAAUGACUGCUGAGGAAAGCAUAUUAGUGGGGUGAUAUAUUGUUUUUCUUUACUUAACAGCUGUGCUUUCCCUAGUUCAAAAGAAAAUGAGGUCUCAAGUAGAGAAGAGUGUUAUUAAGAAAAUACAAGUUGACUUCAGAACAACGGUAUCCUGAAGGCUGCUUUUCAGGUCACAGAGCAAGAGAGGGGCUGGGGAGAUGCAAAUGAUCUACCCUGGAAUAAAGGGGUUAACGGCUAAAUACAGUCCUUGAUCCAUAUGCUGAAUUCCCUCUGGUAUCUAUGAGAGUUAGUUCAGCAUGAAUGGCUAGCAGCACUGAGGAUCUGCUUCUGAAUCACUGAAGAUAAUGAGACUUUUACCAUUGAUCUCAAUGGGAGCUAGAUGAGGGCAUAAGUCUCUACAGUUUGAAAUUAUCCCUCAGUCUCACCUAUUACCGCUAUUUUGCACAUAACUGUAUAUUUUGAGAGUCAAAGAUUAAUAGAGCUGAAGGCCAGAAGGGACCAUUUUGAUCCUCUAGCCUGAGCCACAGAAUCCAAAGAACCUCACCCAAUUAUCUCUGCAUCAGGACAAGAACUUCUGAUUGAGCUGUAGCAUAUCUUUUAGAAAGACAUGCAGGCCUCAUUUACAAUGAUGGAGAAUCCACCACAACCCUCAGUAAGUUGUGAAUCUUGGUUGUAAGGAAAAGAGAAACUCAGCAUGUAUAAUACUGUAGGUCAGACUUUAUAUAAAUGUUCAAUUUCUAAAUAGUUUCUAAAGGGCGAAUAAAUACGUGUUUCUUUAUUUGUAUUAAACAGAUGUUUUAAUAAAUGGUAUAUCAAUGGUUAUCGAUUGUUAUGGAGUCCAGCAAGCUUGGCUUAUAACCAUCUAUAAUACUGUAAUGAUCAGUGCAGACAACAGCUCCACCAAUAGGUAGUGCAGUAUCUUUAUCUUUAGGAUAAGUUGUUGUCUUGAUAUAAUGUUUUGUUGUGAUUGGUUGGGUUGAAAGUACUAGGAGAAAGUUAAACCCUACCUGAGUGUGCUGGAGUUGUUACCUUUUGUGUUCCGAAUACCUUGUAAUGAUGUGCUUAUAACUCUUACAACACG